This 491-nucleotide ribosomal RNA is filed under the name uncultured bacterium. RNAcentral's name for it is "bacterial SSU rRNA". It matches the Rfam family "Bacterial small subunit ribosomal RNA", at positions 28 to 508 of the family's 1533-position model. The record is from RNAcentral.
GACGAACGCUGGCGGCGUGCUUAACACAUGCAAGUCUACGAGGACGAGGUAGCAAUAUCUUUAGUAAAGUGGCGUACGGGUGCGUAACACGUAAGUAAUCUACCUUUGGGUUCGGAAUAACUUCGGGAAAUCGGAGCUAAUACCGGAUAAUGCAGCGGCACCGCAUGGUGAUGUUGUUAAAGUUUGCGUAACGCCUAAAGAUGAGCUUGCGUCUGAUUAGUUUGUUGGUGAGGUAACGGCUCACCAAGGCUGCGAUCAGUAGCUGGUCUGAGAGGAUGAUCAGCCACACUGGAACUGAGACACGGUCCAGACUCCUACGGGAGGCAGCAGUGAGGAAUCUUGCGCAAUGGGGGAAACCCUGACGCAGCAACGCCGCGUGAGUGAGGAAGGCCUUGGGUCGUAAAGCUCUGUCAGAUGGGAAGAAAUGGAUGGGGCGUAAUAUCGCCCAUCCUUGACGGUACCAUCAGAGGAAGCACCGGCUAACUCCGUCG